GUCGUUCGUUCGUCCGUCUGUCCCGCUUCAGGUUAAAGUUUUUGGUCGAGGUAGUUUUUGAUGAAGUUGAAGUCCAAUCGACUUCAAACUUGGUACACAUGUUCCCUAUGAUAUGAUCUUUCUAAUUUUAAUGCCAAAUUAGAGAUUUCACCCCAAUUUCACGGUCCACUGAACAUAGAAAAUGAUAGUGCAAAUUUCAGGUUAAAGUUUUUGGCUUCAGGUUAAAGUUUUUGGUCAAGGUAGUUUUUGAUGAAGUUGAAGUCCAAUCAACUUGAAACUAGUAUACAUGUGCCUAUGAUAGAUCUCUAAUUUUUUAAUGCCAAAUUAGAGUUUUGACCCCAAUUUUACGGUUCACUGAACAUAGAAAAUGAUAGUGCAAAUUUCAGGUUAAAGUUUUUUGUCAAGGUAGUUUUUGAUGAAGUUGAAGUCCAAUCAACUUGAAACUUAGUAUACAUGUGCCCUAUGAUAUGAUCUUUCUAAUUUAAAUGCCAAAUUAGAGUUUUGACCCCAAUUUACGGUUCACUGAACAUAGAAAAUGAUAGUGCAAAUUUCAGGUUAAAGUUUUUUUGUCAAGGUAGUUUUUGAUGAAGUUGAAGUCCAAUCAACUUGAAACUUAGUAUACAUGUGCCCUAUGAUAUGAUCUUUCUUUCUAAUUUAAAUGCCAAAUUAGAGUUUUGACCCCAAUUUUACGGUUCACUGAACAUAGAAAUGAUAGUGCGCAAAUUUCAGGUUAAAGUUUUUGGCUUCAGGUUAAAAGUUUUUUUGGUCAAGGUAGUUUUUGAUGAAGUUGAAGUCCAAUCAACUUGAAACUUGGUAUACAUGUGCCCUAUGAUAUGAUCUUUCUAAUUUAAAUGCCAAAUUAGAGUUUUGACCCCAAUUUUACGGUUCACUGAACAUAGAAAAUGAUAGUGCAAAUUUCAGGUUAAAGUUUUUGGUCAAGGUAGAUUUUGAUAAAGUAGAAGUCCAAUCAACUUGAAACUUAGUAUACAUGUUCCCUUUGAUAAGAU
RNAcentral lists this long non-coding RNA (1007 nucleotides) under Mytilus galloprovincialis (Mediterranean mussel). Lineage: Eukaryota; Metazoa; Mollusca; Bivalvia; Mytilida; Mytilidae. The record is from RNAcentral.